GAUUAAGUUAUUAAGGGCGCACGGUGGAUGCCUUGGCACUAGAAGCCGAUGAAGGACGUUACUAACGACGAUAUGCUUUGGGUAGCUGUAAGUAAGCGUUGAUCCAGAGAUUUCCGAAUGGGGAAACCCAGCACAAGUUAUGUUGUGUUAUCGACAAGUGAAUUCAUAGCUUGUCAGAAGGCAGACCCGGAGAACUGAAACAUCUUAGUACCCGGAGGAAGAGAAAGAAAAUUCGAUUCCCUGAGUAGCGGCGAGCGAAACGGGAAGAGCCCAAACCAAUAAGCUUGCUUAUUGGGGUUGUAGGACACUCUAUACGGAGUUACAAAGGAAUAUAUUAAACGAAUCAUCUGGAAAGUUGAAUCAAAGAAGGUAAUAAUCCUGUAGUUGAAAAUAUAUUCUCUCUUGAGUGGAUCCUGAGUACGACGGAGCACGUGAAAUUCCGUCGGAAUCUGGGAGGACCAUCUCCUAAGGCUAAAUACUCUCUAGUGACCGAUAGUGAACCAGUACCGUGAGGGAAAGGUGAAAAGUACCCCGGAAGGGGAGUGAAAGAGAACUUGAAACCGUGUGCUUACAAGUAGUCAGAGCCCGUUAAUGGGUGAUGGCGUGCCUUUUGUAGAAUGAACCGGCGAGUUACGAUCUGAUGCAAGGUUAAGCAGAAAAUGUGGAGCCGUAGCGAAAGCGAGUCUGAAUAGGGCGUGUAGUAUUUGGUCGUAGACCCGAAACCAGGUGAUCUACCCAUGGUCAGGUUGAAGUUCAGGUAACACUGAAUGGAGGACCGAACCGACUUACGUUGAAAAGUGAGCGGAUGAACUGUGGGUAGCGGAGAAAUUCCAAUCGAACUUGGAGAUAGCUGGUUCUCUCCGAAAUAGCUUUAGGGCUAGCCUCAAGUGAUGAUUAUUGGAGGUAGAGCACUGUUUGGACGAGGGGCCCCUCUCGGGUUACCGAAUUCAGACAAACUCCGAAUGCCAAUUAAUUUAACUUGGGAGUCAGAACAUGGGUGAUAAGGUCCGUGUUCGAAAGGGAAACAGCCCAGACCACCAGCUAAGGUCCCAAAAUAUAUGUUAAGUGGAAAAGGAUGUGGCGUUGCCCAGACAACUAGGAUGUUGGCUUAGAAGCAGCCAUCAUUUAAAGAGUGCGUAAUAGCUCACUAGUCGAGUGACACUGCGCCGAAAAUGUACCGGGGCUAAACAUAUUACCGAAGCUGUGGAUUGUCCUUUGGACAAUGGUAGGAGAGCGUUCUAAGGGCGUUGAAGCAUGAU
RNAcentral lists this ribosomal RNA (1259 nucleotides) under Staphylococcus hominis. RNAcentral describes it as "partial 23S ribosomal RNA". It matches the Rfam family "Bacterial large subunit ribosomal RNA", at positions 1 to 1261 of the family's 2925-position model. The record is from RNAcentral. Lineage: Bacteria; Bacillati; Bacillota; Bacilli; Caryophanales; Staphylococcaceae.